Molecule: non-coding RNA, 77 nt
Organism: Acanthosepion pharaonis
Lineage: Eukaryota; Metazoa; Mollusca; Cephalopoda; Sepiida; Sepiidae
Source: the annotation of a GenBank genome assembly
CGAUCAACGAAGUUAAGCAACGUUGAGCCUGGUCAGUACCUAGAUGGGUGACCGCUUGGGAAGAACAGGUGUUGUAA